GACGAACCGUGCGAACGUUAUUCGGAAUCACUGGGCUUAAAGGGCGCGUAGGCGGGCCGCAUAGUCAGGGGUGAAAUCCUCCAGCUUAACUGGAGAAGUGCCUCUGAUACUGGCGGCCUCGAGGGGUGCAGGGGCGUGCGGAACUUAGGGUGGAGCGGUGAAAUGCGUAGAUAUCCUAAGGAACACCGGUGGCGAAGGCGGCACGCUGGACACCUUCUGACGCUGAGGCGCGAAAGCGUGGGGAGCAAACAGG
This 253-nucleotide ribosomal RNA is filed under the name uncultured bacterium. Its description in RNAcentral is "partial 16S ribosomal RNA". It matches the Rfam family "Bacterial small subunit ribosomal RNA", at positions 524 to 776 of the family's 1533-position model. The record is from RNAcentral.